RNAcentral lists this ribosomal RNA (506 nucleotides) under uncultured bacterium. RNAcentral's name for it is "partial 16S ribosomal RNA". It matches the Rfam family "Bacterial small subunit ribosomal RNA", at positions 30 to 523 of the family's 1533-position model. The record is from RNAcentral.
AUUGAACGCUGGCGGCAGGCCUAACACGUGCAAGUCGAACGGUAACAGGAAACAGCUUGCUGUUUCGCUGACGAGUGGCGGACGGGUGAGUAAUGUCUGGGAAACUGCCUGAUGGAGAGGGAUAACUACUGGAAACGGUAGCUAAUACCGCAUAACGUCGCAAGACCAAAGAGGGGGACCUUCGGGCCUCUUGCCAUCGGAUGUGCCCAGAUGGGAUUAGCUAGUAGGUGGGGUAACGGCUCACCUAGGCGACGAUCCCUAGCUGGUCUGAGAGGAUGACCAGCCACACUGGAACUGAGACACGGUCCAGACUCCUACGGGAGGCAGCAGUGGGGAAUAUUGCACAAUGGGCGCAAGCCUGAUGCAGCCAUGCCGCGUGUAUGAAGAAGGCCUUCGGGUUGUAAAGUACUUUCAGCGGGGAGGAAGGGAGUAAAGUCAAUACCUUUGCUCAUUGACGUUACCCGCAGAAGAAGCACCGGCUAACUCCGUGCCAGCAGCCGCAGUAA